Molecule: ribosomal RNA, 464 nt
Filed under: uncultured bacterium
Lineage: Bacteria
Description: partial 16S ribosomal RNA
Rfam family: Bacterial small subunit ribosomal RNA
Source: RNAcentral
GAUGAACGCUGGCGGCGUGCUUAACACAUGCAAGUCGAACGGAAAGGCUCCUGCUUGCAGGGGUACUCGAGUGGCGAACGGGUGAGUAACACGUGGGUGAUCUGCCCUGCACUUCGGGAUAAGCCUGGGAAACUGGGUCUAAUACCGGAUAGGACCACAUUUUGGAUGGUGUGGUGGAAAGUUUUUCGGUGUGGGAUGAGCUCGCGGCCUAUCAGCUUGUUGGUGGGGUAAUGGCCUACCAAGGCGUCGACGGGUAGCCGGCCUGAGAGGGUGUACGGCCACAUUGGGCCUGGGAUACGGCCAGACUCCUACGGGAGGCAGCAGUGGGGAAUAUUGCACAAUGGGCGCAAGCCUGAUGCAGCGACGCCGCGUGGGGGAUGACGGCCUUCGGGUUGUAAACUCCUUUCGCUAGGGACGAAGCGCAAGUGACGGUACCUGGAGAAGAAGCACCGGCUAACUACGUG